GCAGCCAAGGAAUUAGUCGCUGAAUGCAAGACAGGAAGAUCUGUUGGUGUUUUCCUUGAUGGCUGCUUCUGCUGAUUACCUUCAGGGAGGCAAAUGCUGGAAAGAGCAUAUGCCAGAAAGGAAAAAAAUAGCAGCUAGAGUAUUCAUGCAAUUUGCUCUUGCAAAGACUCCAGAGGAUGAGACCACAUUGGGUUUUUUUUGACUAAGUUAACAGCUCUGGAGUACAGGAAAAAAUGAAGAAUAAGAGAGAAGCCAUGGUGUUUAAAUGACAUGUACGGUUCCUGGAGAAUCUAUGGAAACAGCAAAGAUGAACAACAUGGACAGACAGACAGCUCAUGCAUCUUAAUCUUGGGUUGUUUUGGCUAUGUGCUUUCCACAACACUACCUGGACUGGAUUGGGAGUUGGAUUCACUGUAUGUAUUUCCCAUAGAGAGAAAACCUUUGUGGCAUUGCUGGCAUU
Non-coding RNA from Zonotrichia albicollis (white-throated sparrow), 460 nucleotides. The record is from RefSeq and is a predicted model, not a curated record. Lineage: Eukaryota; Metazoa; Chordata; Aves; Passeriformes; Passerellidae.